Molecule: long non-coding RNA, 1501 nt
Filed under: Populus trichocarpa (black cottonwood)
Lineage: Eukaryota; Viridiplantae; Streptophyta; Magnoliopsida; Malpighiales; Salicaceae
Description: long non-coding RNA (PTRI_LNC001386)
Source: RNAcentral
UAGCUUUUCUGUUUUGAUGUGACUUGUGUUUGUCCUUGUGCUUGUAUCAGUAAUUGUUUGUAUCACUUAUGUUGUGCUGAGCAACCAGCCAAUUCUUACCUUCGAGCAGCAGCUAGGGCUUGAUAUAAAUUAUGAAUGUAAUCCAACAACAGGUUUGUAUUUUUUUGAUCCCUUGUCCCAAGAAGUGAAAAUGGUUUUUUGCAGAUGAAGCUCAUGAUUAUGUGGAGAGCAUAGUUUACAGUACACACCAAACAUGAAGUUGUGGACUGUUACAAAUUAAGAGCUGACUUAGAUAUUUCUAGCUUUUCUUUUUCUUUCAUGCCUUUGAAUUUUCUAAAGAUAUCAGUUUAUGUAGAGUGCUCUGGUGUGUUACUGCCUGCUGGUAUUUUAAAAUCAAAAUGGCAGACGGACCAUUGAAUUCCUAUCUUUCUUCCAACAAUCGGACCAUUGAAAUGAUUUUUGUACAAAUCAAUUGCCUCGAUAACUGAUAAAUUUCCUAUCCACCUCGGCAGCAAAACCUGCUAAAUGGUUGUUACUGACAUCAAAUGCUGACAAAACAGUGAUCCAACUCUCUCUUUGGGCUGCAAUAAGGGAUCAGAGUUUGGAGGAUUGGGUUCUCAACGUACGCAUCUUUGUUUCUGCCUUUUAAGGAAUUGCGAAGUCUUGAUUUGAGUUCUAAUGGAUUAGUUGGUUGCUCUGAGAAUCAAGGUUGGUUCAAUGUUUCUGUUCUUAUAAUCAUAAAAUAAAUUCAUAUUAUUGUGUGAAUCUUACACUGAAAUUACGCUGAUGAAGUGGCUAGUGUUGGUGGGAGAGACCACUGGUGGUGGCUCUGAUACCAAUUGUUGGGGAUUUCUGCUCCCCAUGCGGAACGGUGGUGUUCAUGAUCAUUGCUCAAAGGAGGCUAAGCAUACUAACACAAUAUUUAACGUGGUUCGGCUAAUCGCCUACAUCCACGGGAGAGAUCAAUAUUAUUAGAGAUAGAGAAAGAAUACAACACACGGAGGAGGAUCACAUCCACUCAACUCCCAUCUCUCAUUGCUACAUAGGGCAGCAGCUGCAUAUGGCAGCAGGGCUGCUGGUGGCAGCCCUUCUCUUUCUUUCUCUCUUCUUCUCUCUUUUGUAGCUCUACUACAAGACUCUCUCUCUCUUUAUGCUGCACUCUUGGUGUCUAUUUAUAGGCUUCAAUGACAGCUCCUCUUGCUCCUUUGUCAACAAUGGUGGCUGCCAAACUUACCAAACUUUGACAUUGGACAAUGGUUGUUGGCUGCCACCAACAACCCACCAUUGUAGCCUCCUUCUUUGACAAUGUCAAGGGGCUGCAAAUGCUGCAUCAGCAGCCCUCUUUGACUCUCACAUGGCAGCCAUCUUCUUUGACAAUGGCAGCCACAUAAUUGGCAAUAUUCCAACAAUCACCCCCUUUGCCAUUUAUGUGGGUAAUUGUCCUCUUGCCUUUUCUACACAAUGGUAUGGUCAAAACAUAAUUUUGACAACUUUCAUUUUU